AGGACGAACGCUGGCGGCGUGCUUAACACAUGCAAGUCGAACGGGGUCCAAGCAGUCGCAAGACUGUGGAAGACCGAGUGGCGAACGGGUGCGUAACACGUGAGAAACCUGUCCCGGUCUCUGGAAUAACAAGUGGAAACACUUGCUAAUACCGGAUGCCGUCGGUCCAUCGCAUGGUGGACUGACGAAAGGGUUACCGGAUCGGGAGGGUCUCGCGGCCUAUCAGCUUGUUGGUGAGGUAACGGCUCACCAAGGCAUCGACGGGUAGCUGGUCUGAGAGGAUGAUCAGCCACACUGGGACUGAGACACGGCCCAGACUCCUACGGGAGGCAGCAGUGGGGAAUCUUGCACAAUGGGCGAAAGCCUGAUGCAGCAACGCCGCGUGCGGAAGAAGGCCUUAGGGUUGUAAACCGCUUUCAGCAGGGAAGAAAUGACGGUACCUGUAGAAGAAGGUGCGGCCAACUACGUGCCAGCAGCCGC
RNAcentral lists this ribosomal RNA (480 nucleotides) under uncultured bacterium. RNAcentral describes it as "SSU rRNA". It matches the Rfam family "Bacterial small subunit ribosomal RNA", at positions 26 to 518 of the family's 1533-position model. The record is from RNAcentral.